RNAcentral lists this transfer RNA (71 nucleotides) under Propionibacteriaceae bacterium. RNAcentral's name for it is "tRNA-Gly". It matches the Rfam family "tRNA". Rfam says of the family: Transfer RNA (tRNA) molecules are approximately 80 nucleotides in length. The record is from RNAcentral. Lineage: Bacteria; Bacillati; Actinomycetota; Actinomycetes; Propionibacteriales; Propionibacteriaceae.
GCGAAUGUAGUUCAAUGGCAGAACAGCAGCUUCCCAAGCUGUUAAUGCGGGUUCGAUUCCCGUCAUUCGCU